RNAcentral lists this ribosomal RNA (253 nucleotides) under uncultured bacterium. RNAcentral describes it as "partial 16S ribosomal RNA". It matches the Rfam family "Bacterial small subunit ribosomal RNA", at positions 524 to 776 of the family's 1533-position model. The record is from RNAcentral.
UACGUAGGGCGCAAGCGUUGUCCGGAAUCAUUGGGCGUAAAGAGCUCGUAGGCGGUUUGUCGCGUCUGCUGUGAAAACUGGAGGCUCAACCUCCAGCCUGCAGUGGGUACGGGCAGACUAGAGUGCGGUAGGGGAGAUUGGAAUUCCUGGUGUAGCGGUGGAAUGCGCAGAUAUCAGGAGGAACACCGAUGGCGAAGGCAGAUCUCUGGGCCGUAACUGACGCUGAGGAGCGAAAGCAUGGGGAGCGAACAGG